AUACGGAGGGUGCAAGCGUUAAUCGGAAUUACUGGGCGUAAAGAGUACGUAGGUGGUUUAUUAAGUCAGAUGUGAAAGCCCCGGGCUCAACCUGGGAACUGCAUUUGAAACUGAUAAGCUAGAGUAUGGUAGAGGGGGGUAGAAUUUCUAGUGUAGCUGUGAAAUGCGUAGAUAUUAGAAGGAAUACCAGUGGCGAAGGCGGCCCCCUGGACCAAUACUGACACUGAGGUACGAAAGCGUGGGGAGCGAACAGGAUUAGAUACCCUAGUAGUCC
Molecule: ribosomal RNA, 274 nt
Filed under: uncultured bacterium
Lineage: Bacteria
Description: partial 16S ribosomal RNA
Rfam family: Bacterial small subunit ribosomal RNA
Source: RNAcentral